CAAACGACUCUCGGCAACGGAUAUCUGGGCUCUGAUGAGAAGAAGAGGAAAUGCGAUACUUGGUGUGAAUUGCAGAAUCCCGUGAACCAUCGAGUCUUUGAACGCAAGUUGCGCCCGAAGCCAUUAGGCCGAGGGCACGUCUGCCUGGGCGUCACGC
RNAcentral lists this ribosomal RNA (157 nucleotides) under Leycesteria formosa. RNAcentral's name for it is "5.8S ribosomal RNA". It matches the Rfam family "5.8S ribosomal RNA". Rfam says of the family: 5.8S ribosomal RNA (5.8S rRNA) is a component of the large subunit of the eukaryotic ribosome. It is transcribed by RNA polymerase I as part of the 45S precursor that also contains 18S and 28S rRNA. Functionally, it is thought that 5.8S rRNA may be involved in ribosome translocation. Lineage: Eukaryota; Viridiplantae; Streptophyta; Magnoliopsida; Dipsacales; Caprifoliaceae. The record is from RNAcentral.